CAGAUACACACAGAGCAUUAGAACCCCAGUAGGGCAUGGGACAGAUAAGUAAACUUAGAGAAGUUAUUAAUCACCUUAUGAGCAUUGCAUUAUUGAAGGGAUGAAACGUACACAUGGGGAUUUACUAAAAGUUCGAAGGAUUCUGUCAUAAUCUUAACUGCAUUGGGAAAAGGGGGGAACAUAUAGCUUAGCAGAGCUAAAUUGUUAACUCUCCCAAGGAAUGAACCAAACAAAAAAAGAGAAAAUCUAAAUUAUCAGAUAUUUUGGAGGGAAAGAGGCUAAAGCCUGAUCCCCUAUAAAAUGAUCAAACCUCAAUUUAGAAACAUGGGGCAUAAAUGAUCUUUCCUGUGUGUGGCAGGGUCCAGUUGUCUGUGGAUUGACAUAUUUAAAUUACUCAAAUGCUUACUCUAGUAAAAACUGCAGAACUAAAUGCCUCUAUUCUAGUUCUCUUCUAGUUCCAGUGUGCAGAGGUAGAGUUUGAAGCACUGAGGAGGGACAUGCAGUCUGACCGGGCACAUGGCAACCAAAAGGAAAGAGAAGAACAUUUCAUUGGUAUGGGGGAAACUGGGAAGAUUAAGGUAAGGCAGAGUUGAGUCAGCAUGAUUAAGCCUUCAUAGGUGAGCAACUACUGACCUAGUAAAAUCCAAAUUUACAAACUGUUGAAGUAGACCUUUUACCCUGCAAUUAGAACUGCUUGUUUUUCAGGAGGUCUCAAUGUUCCUCAUGGCCAUCCAGGUGUAUUGUAAACAUAAUACCAGUUACAUGUAUUAUUUACGGUUCCAAAAUUUAUUAUCAUUCAAGUUAAGGAAAAUGGGGUGUGAAGUAAUUGUCUGCCUCAGAGUCCACCACCAAAAUGUGUAACAAGAUUACAGUUAGGGAAUUUCUUAUGAUUACUGUCUAUAAACAAUCCAUGCAUGGCUGAGAAAAGUUUUUUAUUAGUCUAAUACAGCUGUUUUAGCUUUUCAAUGGCUAUUUUUCUAUAAGAACAAAGGCUGUCAUGCUGUAUAGCAUUCAACAGGUAUGAAAAUGCGAUGCCAGUCAUCUAAAGGCACUUUAUUAUCUAAGGAUAAACUGCAAAAUUAAAACAUUACAAAACGAUUAUUUAUCUGACCCCCUUUUAGCAAGAAACUUGGAGAGGAGGAACUCCCUUUUUAACAGGAAUAAAUGCCCAGUAGAACUGGGCACAGGGGGGAGUGGUCAUCAGCUGUGACCAGCUGGGGUGAGGAGAAGGAGACAGGACUAAAAACAUGCUGUGUAGGAGAGUCAGAGAUUGAUAAUAACUAAUAAUAACUCAAAAGAGAGACCUAAAAACUGGAGGCCUGGCUUCCCAUUUUACUUUUAAAUAUUCUAGUAAGCUUAAAGUUCGAGAGUCAAGUGGGGAGAUACAGUACUAUAGGAGCAGGAUGGUAAUUAAAAAAAACAGAUUUAACAAGGAGCCUAUGAAGAGAAGUCAAUAGGAGAAAUAUACUCUGUCAUUCUAGUCCCUUUCAGUAUUCAUGUGCAACAUUUUGAUGUAGUUGAAUGCUUUUUAAGGAGUUUUUACCACAACCUGAUAAUAAUAAUAGCUCAGCCUAGAAGUAAUGAAUGCAUGAACUUGUCUUCCAGCAUCACUCUGGGACAGGACUUUAGAGAUAUUGCAGAAAUUGAAGAAAGCAGUCCUUAAUAUUCGCAUAUUAGCACAUAUUGGGAUUUAAAAAAAUUACUCCAAGAAACCUCACAGUGUUAAUGGAGACCAAGGUAAUGCCAUUCAGAGCAUUCCUUUAGGUUGACUGAUAGGUGUGUGUUGUUUGGCUUCAUGGAUGAAUGAGAGAGAGGCUGUCAUCAGUAUGGCAGAGGUAUGUUGUGUCUUUUGUGGUGUUACCUAAAGGAGGCAUGUGUUAUAUAAACAGAAAUAGAUCCUGGGGUGGAACCUUGUGAAGCUCAAUGGUUAGUCUUGUGUAUGUGGGAGGAUUCUUAGAAUAACAUGUUCACAAGUGUCGAACAUAGAGAUCAAUCCACUGUCAGAGGCCUUAAGAAGAUCAUUUUUAACCUUCACCAAAGCUGUCUCUAUACUGUGAUGUGCUCUGAAACCUGACUGAAACUCUUUAAAUAAGGCAUUCCUCUGUGGCUAUUUUACAGCAUCUCUUGUGGGGAUUUUUGACAUAAAGGAAAGUUGGAGAUUGGCCUAUAAUUGGCUAGGACAGUUGGGUCAAGUGAUGGUUUUUGAGUGAUGGUUUAACUACUGCCAAUAUGAAGAACUGUGUGGUCAAUGUGGCAUUGUCUAACUUAGCUUUGAAAAUUUCAAUUCUGCGGCUAUAGAGGUGUGGGAAGUUUGAUCAGCCAUAUAGCCAGCAACGCUAAGUUUUGGGCUAACAGUGCUAAUGAUGAAUUGUGAAUUGGCAGCCGGUAACAGAGUUAAUGUUUAUUCAAAUUCAGCAUAUAAAUUUGACAUGUGCUCAAUAGUGUUUAAGAACAAAGAAGAUCUUAGAGAAGCCAACAGAGCAGUUAUAGUUACUCAGCUACUAGUCGCCCUAAAGCUCCCUGGUAUCACUAGAAAACAGACAUAUUAAUACCUAAAUGAAACAACCUUGUAGAGCUUUACUAUGCACUUCCUAAAUUGAUAGCUAUGCAAAGAUAAAUAAAGCUUUCUCUUUAUAACAGCAUUUGGGACAAAUAUUUCAAAGUGCUUCACAAAAUAAAGCAAUGAAUUGGAAUUUGUUAAGGAAGAGGUUAACUAGGUACAAAUAUUAACUUUAGUACUAAGGUGCAUGUAGUCGUGAACUAACAAGACUAAAACAACUAACAUUGCAUGGCAUACUCACAAAGGUCCAUAGAUAAGUCCUCAUAAAGGGCCUGUAGAGGUAACUGUGAACAAAACUAAUGCACUCUGCAAAGUUAUCUUUCUGCAGGUGGAGAUGGUAUCUGGAUAACAGACGGAGAUGCAGAGGUCCUGGAGCAGGUGCUGGCGAUCUGAUGAUGAGU
This is a long non-coding RNA of Oreochromis aureus, 2961 nucleotides long. Lineage: Eukaryota; Metazoa; Chordata; Actinopteri; Cichliformes; Cichlidae. The record is from Ensembl.